AACGCAAAUUGCACUUCUUGGUAUUCCGAGGAGUAUGCUUGCUUGAGGGUUGGUCCAUAAAAAAUCGUAAAUUUUUUUUACGGAUCUGGGCUUUCCGAGUUUUUCGACUUCGGUUGCCUAAAAUUUAUCUUAACAAUGAGGUGUUAAUUAGAAAUGUUUUAUCUUACAUAUUGUAAGUUCAUCAAUAAUUAUACCAGUUGUUAUAUCGCGUUAUUCAUCUAGUAUCUUUGAUUAGGUGAAAUAAUUCAAUUUUUUUAAUCCUACCUCAAGUCAAGCAAGGAUACCCGCUGAACUUAA
Molecule: unclassified non-coding RNA, 297 nt
Filed under: uncultured fungus
Lineage: Eukaryota; Fungi
Description: sequence contains ITS2
Source: RNAcentral